This 292-nucleotide ribosomal RNA is filed under the name uncultured bacterium. RNAcentral's name for it is "partial 16S ribosomal RNA". It matches the Rfam family "Bacterial small subunit ribosomal RNA", at positions 505 to 796 of the family's 1533-position model. The record is from RNAcentral.
GUGUCAGCAGCCGCGGUAAUACGAGGGGGGCGAGCGUUGUUCGGAAUUAUUGGGCGUAAAGGGUGCGUAGGCGGUUUUGUAAGUCUUAUGUGAAAUCUAUGGGCUCAACUCAUAGACUGCAUGAGAAACUGCAGGGCUUGAGUAUGGGAGAGGUGAGUGGAAUUCCUGGUGUAGCGGUGAAAUGCGUAGAUAUCAGGAGGAACACCUGUGGCGAAAGCGGCUCACUGGACCAUAACUGACGCUGAUGCACGAAAGCUAGGGGAGCAAACAGGAUUAGAUACCCUGGUAGUCC